Molecule: ribosomal RNA, 1094 nt
Filed under: Astrosyne radiata
Lineage: Eukaryota; Bacillariophyta; Fragilariophyceae; Cyclophorales; Cyclophoraceae
Description: partial Bacterial small subunit ribosomal RNA
Rfam family: Bacterial small subunit ribosomal RNA
Source: RNAcentral
UUUAUGAGUUUGAUCCUGGCUCAGGAUGAACGCUAGUAGUAUGCUUUAUACAUGCAAGUCGAACGAAUUUUAUUUCGUGGCGAACGGGUGAGUAUAAUACAAAAUUUUGCCUUUUAGUUUUAUACAAAACAUAUUCAAUUUAAUUUGAAAAAAAAUAUUUAUUAAAUAUUUGUGUUAAUUAUAAAAUAAAAAAAAGACUAUAAAACAAAAAUAAUAGUCGCUAAAAGAUAAAUUUGUAGAAGAUUAGGUAGUUGGUAAGUUUUAAAGUCUACCAAGCCGACGAUCUUUAGUUGGUCUUAGAAGGACGAUCAACCACAUUGGAACUGAGACAAGGUCCAAGCUGAAAUUUCGGCCAGCAGUAAGGAAUAUUGGACAAUGAACGAAAGUUUGAUCCAGCAAUACUACCUGAAUGAUGACGGCUAUUUGGUUGUAAAGUUCUUUCGUUAAAGAUGAUAAUGACAUUAUUUAAAGAAGUUAGUCCCGGCUAAUCUCGUGCCAGCAGCCGCGGUAAAACGGGAGGGGCAAGCGUUAUCCGUAAUGACUGGGCGUAAAGGGUCCGUAGACGGUAAAAUAAGUUAUUUGUUAAUUCUUAGAGCUUAACUUUAAGUCAGCAUUUAAAACUGUUUUACUUGAGUUUAAGACGGAAGAAUAGAAUUUUAUAUGGAGGGAUGACACCCACAGAUAUAUAAAGGAAUAUCAUUAGUGAAGACGAUUCUUUAGUUAUAAACUGACGUUGAGGGACGAAAGUAUAGGUAGCAAACAGGAUUAGGUACCCUGGUAGUCUAUACUGUAAACUAUGAGUGCUGUAAUUUAGUCAAUUUAUUUUGAUUAGAUUUUUAAGCUAACGCCAUAAGCACUCCGCCAGAGAAGUACGAUCGCAAGGUUGAAACUCAAAGGAAUUGACGGGGGCCUACAACUAGUGGUGGAGCAUGUGGUUUAAUGCGAUGAUCCGCGCAAAACCUUACCAACCCUUGAAUAAACUUUACUUAACUAUUUUUUCAUAUUAAGAUGAAAUUAUUUUAUAUUAAGUUAACAGGUGUUGCACGACUGUCGUCAGCUCGUGUCGUGAGAAGUUGGGUUAAGUCCCGCAAAGA